UACGUAGGGUGCGAGCGUUGUCCGGAAUUAUUGGGCGUAAAGAGCUCGUAGGCGGGUUGUCACGUCUGCUGUGAAAUCCCGAGGCUCAACCUCGGGCCUGCAGUGGGUACGGGCAGACUGGAGUGCGGUAGGGGAGAAUGGAAUUCCUGGUGUAGCGGUGGAAUGCGCAGAUAUCAGGAGGAACACCGAUGGCGAAGGCAGUUCUCUGGGCCGUAACUGACGCUGAGGAGCGAAAGCGUGGGGAGCGAACAGG
This 253-nucleotide ribosomal RNA is filed under the name uncultured bacterium. RNAcentral's name for it is "partial 16S ribosomal RNA". It matches the Rfam family "Bacterial small subunit ribosomal RNA", at positions 524 to 776 of the family's 1533-position model. The record is from RNAcentral.